GAAAUAUAUAAAAAUAAGCUUCUAACUUAAAUAAUAGCGUUUUACGUUAAUAUUUCU
RNAcentral lists this transfer RNA (57 nucleotides) under Epicauta tibialis. RNAcentral's name for it is "tRNA-Ser". Lineage: Eukaryota; Metazoa; Arthropoda; Insecta; Coleoptera; Meloidae. The record is from RNAcentral.